UACGUAGGGUGCAAGCGUUGUCCGGAAUUAUUGGGCGUAAAGAGCUCGUAGGCGGUCUGUCGCGUCUGCUGUGAAAACUCAGGGCUUAACCCUGAGCUUGCAGUGGGUACGGGCAGACUAGAGUGCGGUAGGGGAGAUUGGAAUUCCUGGUGUAGCGGUGGAAUGCGCAGAUAUCAGGAGGAACACCAAUGGCGAAGGCAGAUCUCUGGGCCGUAACUGACGCUGAGGAGCGAAAGCAUGGGGAGCGAACAGG
RNAcentral lists this ribosomal RNA (253 nucleotides) under uncultured bacterium. RNAcentral's name for it is "partial 16S ribosomal RNA". It matches the Rfam family "Bacterial small subunit ribosomal RNA", at positions 524 to 776 of the family's 1533-position model. The record is from RNAcentral.